ACUGGUGCGCGAGAUGAGUAUUCUAAGGCGCUUGAGAGAACUCAGGAGAAGGAACUCGGCAAAUUGACACCGUAACUUCGGAAGAAGGUGUGCCCUAUUAGUGUGAAGUGAACAACGGAGCAUGAAUGGGUUGCAAAAAAUCGGUGGCUGCGACUGUUUAUUAAAAACACAGCACUCUGCAAACACGAAAGUGGACGUAUAGGGUGUGACGCCUGCCCGGUGCUGGAAGAUUAAAUGAUGGGGUGCAAGCUCUUGAUUGAAGUCCCAGUAAACGGCGGCCGUAACUAUAACGGUCCUAAGGUAGCGAAAUUCCUUGUCGGGUAAGUUCCGACCUGCACGAAUGGCGUAACGAUGGCCACACUGUCUCCUCCUGAGACUCAGCGAAGUUGAAAUGUUUGUGAUGAUGCAAUCUCCCCGCGGAAAGACGGAAAGACCCCAUGAACCUUUACUGUAGCUUUGUAUUGGACUUUGAACAGAUCUGUGUAGGAUAGGCGGGAGGCUUUGAAGCAGGGUCGCUAGAUCUUGUGGAGCCAACGUUGAAAUACCACCCUGGUGUGUUUGAGGUUCUAACCUAGGUCCAUUAUCUGGAUCGGGGACAGUGCAUGGUAGGCAGUUUGACUGGGGCGGUCUCCUCCCAAAGCGUAACGGAGGAGUUCGAAGGUACGCUAGUUACGGUCGGACAUCGUGACGAUAGUGCAAUGGCAUAAGCGUGCUUAACUGCGAGACUGACAAGUCGAGCAGAUGCGAAAGCAGGACAUAGUGAUCCGGUGGUUCUGUAUGGAAGGGCCAUCGCUCAACGGAUAAAAGGUACUCUGGGGAUAACAGGCUGAUACCGCCCAAGAGUUCAUAUCGACGGCGGUGUUUGGCACCUCGAUGUCGGCUCAUCUCAUCCUGGGGCUGUAGCCGGUCCCAAGGGUAUGGCUGUUCGCCAUUUAAAGAGGUACGUGAGCUGGGUUUAAAACGUCGUGAGACAGUUUAGUCCCUAUCUUCCGUGGGCGCUGCAGAUUUGAGGAAGCCUGCUCCUAGUACGAGAGGACCGGAGUGGACACACCUCUGGUGUAUCGGUUGUCACGCCAGUGGCAUUGCCGAGUAGCUAAGUGUGGAAGAGAUAACCGCUGAAAGCAUCUAAGCGGGAAACUCGUUUCAAGAUGAGAUCUGCCGGGGCCUUGAGCCCCCUGAAGAGUCGUUCAAGACCAGGACGUUGAUAGGUCAGGUGUGGAAGCGCAGUAAUGCGUUAAGCUAACUGAUACUAAUUGCUCGUGCGGCUUGACCCU
Molecule: ribosomal RNA, 1274 nt
Filed under: metagenome
Description: bacterial LSU rRNA
Rfam family: Bacterial large subunit ribosomal RNA
Source: RNAcentral